GACAGAGGGUGCAAACGUUGUUCGGAAUUACUGGGCGUAAAGCGCGUGUAGGCGGCCGUACAGGUCAGCUGUGAAAACUCGAGGCUCAACCUCGAGACGUCGGUUGAAACCGUACGGCUAGAGUCCGGAAGAGGAGAGUGGAAUUCCCGGUGUAGCGGUGAAAUGCGCAGAUAUCGGGAAGAACACCCGUGGCGAAGGCGGUGAGCUGGGCAGUAGCUGACACUGAGGCGCGACAGCGUGGGGAGCAAACAGG
This 253-nucleotide ribosomal RNA is filed under the name uncultured bacterium. RNAcentral describes it as "partial 16S ribosomal RNA". It matches the Rfam family "Bacterial small subunit ribosomal RNA", at positions 524 to 776 of the family's 1533-position model. The record is from RNAcentral.